Molecule: long non-coding RNA, 315 nt
Organism: Oncorhynchus gorbuscha (pink salmon)
Lineage: Eukaryota; Metazoa; Chordata; Actinopteri; Salmoniformes; Salmonidae
Exons: 3
Source: RefSeq, a predicted model, not a curated record
AUGUAGGCCCAGGGACAGUGAUCAAUGCAAAGAGAUGUGUGGCACUGUGUGUGUGUAUACUGUAUGUGUGCGCACGUGCAUGCGUGUUAGUAGUAGUGUAGUGAAGAGAGGGGAUUUUAAUCCACUUUUUCCAUUCAGCCGCGGCACACGACGUAAAGGCAGAGAGAAAGACAAAGGGAAGCGGCUGCCAGCCUAGAUCAGAGGACUUCAACCACACAACCAGCCAUUCAAUCUGAGAGAGCUACAGUGCCUUCGGAAAUGUUUUUUCCGGCGUCCUGGAACGCACCCUGUCUGGUUGCCGGGCAAUGUAGCCAG